RNAcentral lists this ribosomal RNA (516 nucleotides) under uncultured bacterium. RNAcentral describes it as "bacterial SSU rRNA". It matches the Rfam family "Bacterial small subunit ribosomal RNA", at positions 1001 to 1509 of the family's 1533-position model. The record is from RNAcentral.
CAGAGAUGCUUUGGUGCCUUCGGGAACUCUGAGACAGGUGCUGCAUGGCUGUCGUCAGCUCGUGUUGUGAAAUGUUGGGUUAAGUCCCGCAACGAGCGCAACCCUUAUCCUUUGUUGCCAGCGGCUCGGCCGGGAACUCAAAGGAGACUGCCGGUGAUAAACCGGAGGAAGGUGGGGAUGACGUCAAGUCAUCAUGGCCCUUACGGCCAGGGCUACACACGUGCUACAAUGGCGCAUACAAAGAGUUUUUUUUAAGCGACCUCGCGAGAGCAAGCGGACCUCACAAAGUGCGUCGUAGUCCGGAUUGGAGUCUGCAACUCGACUCCAUGAAGUCGGAAUCGCUAGUAAUCGUAGAUCAGAAUGCUACGGUGAAUACGUUCCCGGGCCUUGUACACACCGCCCGUCACACCAUGGGAGUGGGUUGCAAAAGAAGUAGGUAGCUUAACCUUCGGGAGGGCGCUUACCACUUUGUGAUUCAUGACUGGGGUGAAGUCGUAACAAGGUAAGCGUAGCGAG